ACGGGUGAGUAACACGUGGGAACGUGCCCUUUGGUUCGGAACAACUCGGGAAACUUGAUCUAAUACCGGAUAAGCCCUUCGGGGGAAAGAUUUAUCGCCAUUGGAGCGGCCCGCGUAGGAUUAGCUAGUUGGUGGGGUAAAGGCCCACCAAGGCUACGAUCCUUAGCUGGUCUGAGAGGAUGAUCAGCCACAUUGGGACUGAGACACGGCCCAAACUCCUACGGGAGGCAGCAGUGGGGAAUCUUGCGCAAUGGGCGAAAGCCUGACGCAGCCAUGCCGCGUGAAUGAUGAAGGUCUUAGGAUUGUAAAAUUCUUUCACCGGGGACGAUAAUGACGGUACCCGGAGAAGAAGCCCCGGCUAACUUCGUGCCAGCAGCCGCGGUAAUACGAAGGGGGCUAGCGUUGCUCGGAAUUACUGGGCGUAAAGGGAGCGUAGGCGGAUAGUUUAGUCAGAGGUGAAAGCCCAGGGCUCAACCUUGGAAUUGCCUUUGAUACUGGCUAUCUUGAGUACGGAAGAGGUAUGUGGAACUCCGAGUGUAGAGGUGAAAUUCGUAGA
RNAcentral lists this ribosomal RNA (556 nucleotides) under Caulobacter sp. TDB-026. Its description in RNAcentral is "bacterial SSU rRNA". It matches the Rfam family "Bacterial small subunit ribosomal RNA", at positions 102 to 694 of the family's 1533-position model. The record is from RNAcentral. RNAcentral also lists the same sequence under 10 other names. Lineage: Bacteria; Pseudomonadati; Pseudomonadota; Alphaproteobacteria; Caulobacterales; Caulobacteraceae.